CACGUAGGGCGCAAGCGUUGUCCGGAAUUAUUGGGCGUAAAGAGCUCGUAGGCGGUCUGUUGCGUCUGCUGUGAAAACUCGAGGCUCAACCUCGAGACGUCGGCGGAAACCAUCUGGCUAGAGUCCGGAAGAGGAGAGUGGAAUUCCUGGUGUAGCGGUGAAAUGCGCAGAUAUCAGGAAGAACACCCGUGGCGAAGGCGGCUCUCUGGGACGGUACUGACGCUGAGACGCGAAAGCGUGGGGAGCGAACAGG
RNAcentral lists this ribosomal RNA (253 nucleotides) under uncultured bacterium. Its description in RNAcentral is "partial 16S ribosomal RNA". It matches the Rfam family "Bacterial small subunit ribosomal RNA", at positions 524 to 776 of the family's 1533-position model. The record is from RNAcentral.